Molecule: non-coding RNA, 2297 nt
Organism: Pogona vitticeps (central bearded dragon)
Lineage: Eukaryota; Metazoa; Chordata; Lepidosauria; Squamata; Agamidae
Source: RefSeq, a predicted model, not a curated record
GCACCCAAGCAAGCUUCGGACAAAAAGGUAUACACCUCCAUUUUGUACGGGAAUGGGCCGGGUUACCAGAUCACCGGAGGAGGACGUCCUAAUUUGACCACAGAAGAGGCCGAAGGCAACACCUACCACCAACAAGCGGCUGUGCCUCUUUCUUCGGAAACCCACGGAGGUGAAGAUGUGGCCAUUAUGGCCAAGGGUCCAAUGGCACACCUCUUCCAUGGUGUGCAGGAACAGACGUACAUCGCUCACGUGAUGGCAUACGCUGCCUGUUUGGAACCAUACCAGGAUUGUGACCUGCCCUCUUCUAAUGUGGCCAGCUUCACCAAGCCCACGUUGAUGGCUCUGCCUCUUGUCAGCUUGCUUCUCUGGGCCUGCUAGCCUUCUGGAGAACAAUGGGCGCAUCCCGCUGUCUUCCUCAGAUCAGGAUAAUUCUCACUUCAUAAAGAACAGCCUCCGAGUUUUCCCUUCUAAGCCAAAGCUAUGAACCUUCUGUCUUGCCACCAGGCAGAUUGGAGCGUGGCUUCCACCUUAUUCAGUUGCUGCUAAUGUUCUGUUGCUAUAUCCAGCCUAGAACUAUUGGAUAGGUCUCUCUGGCUGCGGAGCCAAAGGUUGGGAGUUCAAUUCCCCACUGUGCUUCCUUGACAAGGGUUAGACUUGAUGAUCCAUAGGGCCCCUUCCAGCUCCGCAAUACUACGAUGGCGAUCACAAGAAAUCACAGAGAGCCACGGAGAUCGGCUGCCCCAUCAAAUUCUCUUUCCACGGAUUCAUCAAUACCUGAACAUCUUUUGGAAGCAGUGCCAAAUUCCAGCUGUUUUUGGACGGCCGGGAAGAGGCGAUGCCGUCAGUGGUUUGAAACCUGCCCCCUGCCUUUGGGAGAGGUUGAUUAUAAGAAGCCCAGUUAAUUAACAACACCCAUUUGCCCAUGCAGACAAAACAGCUCUGGCCUUUUAAUUCCAUAUAAUCAGCAACAGAAAAAUACAACGCAACAUUUCUGUACAAAGAGCCAACCACCCCUCUGGCUCAGAUGGCACCACUUGAUGGCCAAGAAAUGUACAUGAGAGGUUUUGGAGGCAGGAGAGGGUUCAGGGUAACACAAAGCUGUCCAUGUCUUGUUCUCCAGAGUCGCCCUGUGGUACUGAUGGGUGCCACCUCAGAGGAAGGAGGUUGGCUGGGCCACAGUAUGCCAGGGCCACAACAUGCCACCUCAUGGGUCUCUCUGUCUGCCCCUCAACAGCCACAGCUGUAUUAGCUCUCUCUCUCUCUCUCUCUCUCCAUCUCAGAGAAGUCUCCGGUACAUCCUUUCUGGGGCCAAGGAAGGUUUGAGGAUGUGCUGUGAUUGAAACCCAGAUCUAGGAUACACAACUACGAAAUUCUGAGGGAAUUCGGCAAAUCACCCUCCUUGUCUGUGGUGGUCCACACUCCCCUGUCCUUUAGAGCUGCCAGAAGGUGCAGGCCACCAGUUCUCUCUCCAUGGUAACGGCUGACCUAGUUUGGCAAUAGUAGGCCCUGGUGGCCUUGUCAGGCUGAUGUUUUUUGGGGGCAGAAUCAUGACCCAGAGUGGUUGGCAGAAGGGUCAAUGCAAAAAUACCAGUUCCUGAAAGAACCAGUCCAUAAAACCAUUCAAAUGGCUUUAGGGUGCUCCUCGUUGGCAAGGAGGGCCCAAUCCUGGUGGAUCAGUCAGGGCUUGUACACUUUACUAGAAACUGGAGCCCUGUCCCUUUCUGGUCGUGUGGGGAAAGAAUUUUAAGGUCCUAUUAGACCAUCAGUAUGGAAACUUGUUUUCAGAAAUCAGUGGCCCUCAUUGCCAAAUCCUCUAAAUCUCAGCGAAGUUGGUCUGAAGCAGGGUUAGAACGAAAUAAGCAACAUCCUGAACAGCAAACGUCUCACCUGGAACACACAGACAAGGUGUGUGUGUGUGCCGUACAACCAGAGUUUAGAAUGUUAUGAAAAAUGGCCUAAUGCAUUCGUGCUGAUUUUUUUCCCUUUAAAAACUUCUAAUGUGUCCCUACUGGUUGCAGCUGGGAAGGGUGAAUGUAUUCAUAAGGUAUUAUGCUUUAAUAAAUUUGAAUUAAAUUAUUUGUUGCUUUGUAGCAUUUCUUUCAACUGUAAACCACUAAGGAUUUUAAAAAAAAAAUUAGUUUUGAGCAGCCGGGAAAGGCUAAUAAAUAAAUAAGCAAACAAAUCCUUUAGGAACCCUUAAAAUAUUAAUUAAAAUGACCCAAAUGAGGUACAAAGUUUGGAGUACAGCGGUGCCUCGCUUGACGAUGUUAAUUCGUUCCCAUUGAAACGCAUUAAAA